UAAAUAAAUAAAUAAAUAAAAUAGUAAGUAAUAAAAACUGUGUUGUAUAACUUUAUUCAAAAAACUUUCUUUGAAUUACUACGGAAAUCACUACAAAAUAAAAUUGGAAAAUCAUUUCUAUUUUGAUAGUUUCUUUUAGUUUAUUUUAAAAUGGAUUUUUAAUAUUUAUUUACUAUUUAUUUGUAUAUUUGUAUCGAAUUUGUGUCAUUUUUCAUUUUAAAAUUGAAUUUAACUCUUAUUAGAUUUAUUAGUAGAUUCAUUCACACAAUAUCUCGAAUAAGAAAAAAAAGUAUCGCAUGAUCAGAUCACUCGAAAAAAUCAAAUCUUUCUUUUGUUUUUGUACAAAUAGAUUCUAAGACUAGUAAUUCCGAUUAUCUUUUUCUUUUCUAGAUUUUACAUUUUUUCCAUAUUAAAAAAAACUUCUUUUCUUUGUAGUUAAGUGUCAAGAAAGACCUUUUGGAUCUAAUACACGAAUACGUGCAUCGCGAAUAUUGAUUAUUCCAAUUAUUUUUUUGUUGUUCUACUUCUUUCAUCGAAUAUUCUCUACUACUGG
RNAcentral lists this unclassified non-coding RNA (553 nucleotides) under Hevea brasiliensis (rubber tree). Lineage: Eukaryota; Viridiplantae; Streptophyta; Magnoliopsida; Malpighiales; Euphorbiaceae. The record is from RNAcentral.